This 31-nucleotide non-coding RNA is filed under the name Rattus norvegicus (Norway rat). The record is from RNAcentral. Lineage: Eukaryota; Metazoa; Chordata; Mammalia; Rodentia; Muridae.
UGUGUGUGGUAGAGCAGAGUUGCUCAAUACA